GCUUGUCUCAAAGAUUAAGCCAUGCAUGUCUCAGUAAAAGCUUCUAUACGGCGCAACUGCGAAUGGCUCAUUAAAACAGUUAUAGUUUAUUUGGUGGUCAACUCGUACAUGGAUAACCGUGGUAAUUCUAGACCUAAUACAUGCGCCCAAACCCAACUUCUUGAAAGGGUUGUGUUUAUUAGAUACAGAACCAACCCAGGCUCCGCCUGGCCUUGAGGUGAUUCACAAUAACCGAAAGAAUCGCAUAGCUGCCGCUGCCGAUAUACCAUUCAAGUUUCUGCCCUAUCAGCUAUCGUCUGUAGGGUAUUGGCCUACCGUGGCAAUGACGGGUAACGGAGAAUUAGGGUUCGAUUACGGAGAGGGAGCCUGAGAAACUGUUACCACAUCUAAGGAAGGCAGCAGG
This 403-nucleotide ribosomal RNA is filed under the name Gyrodinium helveticum. Its description in RNAcentral is "partial small subunit ribosomal RNA". It matches the Rfam family "Eukaryotic small subunit ribosomal RNA", at positions 30 to 432 of the family's 1831-position model. Lineage: Eukaryota; Dinophyceae; Gymnodiniales; Gymnodiniaceae. The record is from RNAcentral.